UGGAGGACUGAGAAGGUUGAACAGCUGCUUCUGUGCUGUUAUAACUGGUUAUAGCCUCCAAGAGUAGUAAACAAACCACAUAAU
Molecule: small nucleolar RNA, 84 nt
Organism: Oreochromis aureus
Lineage: Eukaryota; Metazoa; Chordata; Actinopteri; Cichliformes; Cichlidae
Product: Small nucleolar RNA SNORA47
Source: Ensembl